Molecule: ribosomal RNA, 803 nt
Filed under: uncultured bacterium
Lineage: Bacteria
Description: bacterial SSU rRNA
Rfam family: Bacterial small subunit ribosomal RNA
Source: RNAcentral
GAGAGUUUGAUCCUGGCUCAGAUUGAACGCUGGCGGCAGGCUUAACACAUGCAAGUCGAGCGGAGAUGAGGUGCUUGCACCUUAUCUUAGCGGCGGACGGGUGAGUAAUGCUUAGGAAUCUGCCUAUUAGUGGGGGACAACAUUCCGAAAGGAAUGCUAAUACCGCAUACGUCCUACGGGAGAAAGCAGGGGAUCUUCGGACCUUGCGCUAGUAGAUGAGCCUAAGUCGGAUUAGCUAGUUGGUGGGGUAAAGGCCUACCAAGGCGACGAUCUGUAGCGGGUCUGAGAGGAUGAUCCGCCACACUGGGACUGAGACACGGCCCAGACUCCUACGGGAGGCAGCAGUGGGGAAUAUUGGACAAUGGGGGGAACCCUGAUCCAGCCAUGCCGCGUGUGUGAAGAAGGCCUUAUGGUUGUAAAGCACUUUAAGCGAGGAGGAGGCUACUGAGACUAAUACUCUUGGAUAGUGGACGUUACUCGCAGAAUAAGCACCGGCUAACUCUGUGCCAGCAGCCGCGGUAAUACAGAGGGUGCGAGCGUUAAUCGGAUUUACUGGGCGUAAAGCGUGCGUAGGCGGCUGAUUAAGUCGGAUGUGAAAUCCCCGAGCUUAACUUAGGAAUUGCAUUCGAUACUGGUCAGCUAGAGUAUGGGAGAGGAUGGUAGAAUUCCAGGUGUAGCGGUGAAAUGCGUAGAGAUCUGGAGGAAUACCGAUGGCGAAGGCAGCCAUCUGGCCUAAUACUGACGCUGAGGUACGAAAGCAUGGGGAGCAAACAGGAUUAGAUACCCUGGUAGUCCAUGCCGUA